ACAGGCCCGUGCACACAGGUGCCUCUGUCUCCAGCUGGAGCAGCUGGGUCCGUCUUCUAUGACAAUCAUUUUCCUGCUUUUCUGUAGAGUCUCCUCUAGACUCUGCCAGAACCACAAGCUUGCACAGUGGACUGAGCAGCCUCAUGCAAAAAGGAUUUCUUCAAGGAUUUCUGCCUAUCAACUGUUUGUUCAACCUGGAGCUGAUAACACAUGGGUGUUGGUCAUUGUGACCAAGGAUUAUUGCUUUAAAAUACCUAAGGUGAGGUAUAGCAGAAUGGUCUACGUGACCAGGUCCUGACAACUGCUUUCUAAAGAGCACCAAUUUGCACUGCCGAGAUGGGGACACCAAGGCUCAAGGAAUGAUGAGUUGCCAUUAGGCACAGGAGCUGGAACUGGAACCUGGAUCCGCCUGGCCUUGACUUGGUUCUUUGAUUGCUUUGCCAAAUGACCUGGGAGAUUUACCGGUUCUCGCCUACACCCGUGGCUCUCUGCACCUGCCCU
Peromyscus eremicus (cactus mouse) is the source of this 501-nucleotide long non-coding RNA. RefSeq lists it as uncharacterized. The record is from RefSeq and is a predicted model, not a curated record. NCBI's taxonomy places the organism in Eukaryota, Metazoa, Chordata, Mammalia, Rodentia, Cricetidae. The transcript is spliced from 4 exons.